GCUUGUGGAUUGUGACCAUGAGUGUGACCCGGUGGAAAAAAAUGAUUGUGAUGCAGGUUGCAACGGUGGUCUUAUGACUACUGCCUUUGAGUAUACCCUUAAGGCUGGAGGUCUCCAACUGGAGAAAGACUAUCCUUACACUGGCAGGAAUGGCAAAUGCCACUUUGACAAGAGCAGAAUUGCUGCCUCUGUAUCCAACUUCAGUGUUGUUGGUCUUGAUGAAGACCAAAUUGCUGCUAACCUGCUGAAACAUGGUCCUCUUGCAGUGGGGAUCAAUGCUGCUUGGAUGCAGACAUAUGUUAGAGGAGUUUCAUGCCCAUUAAUUUGCUUCAAGCGUCAGGAUCAUGGUGUCCUCCUAGUCGGUUAUGGAUCUGAAGGUUUUGCACCUAUCCGUCUCAAGAAUAAGCCUUACUGGAUCAUCAAGAAUUCUUGGGGAAAGACUUGGGGAGAACACGGAUAUUACAAGAUCUGCAGGGGUCACAAUAUCUGCGGAGUUGAUGCCAUGGUCUCUACUGUGACUGCCACACAUACUACUAAUCCUAAUCUUUAAGAUGAAAUAUAUCCCAAGAAUGUUGUCUGUAAUCAACGAUUUUACUGCCAUUACCCUAAUCUUUGUAAAUAUAUUGGUCAGUAAUGUAUUGUGAACUCAUGUCUUGGAUUUCAUCAGCACCUUAUUAUCGUGCCUCAAACCAUGUACUGGGAUUUGUAUCUGUAGUUUUAUACUGCAAAUAAUUGGAGUUUGAAUUUUUAAGUUAUUUGCAAUAUUUGAAUGCUCG
This 776-nucleotide unclassified non-coding RNA is filed under the name Hevea brasiliensis (rubber tree). Lineage: Eukaryota; Viridiplantae; Streptophyta; Magnoliopsida; Malpighiales; Euphorbiaceae. The record is from RNAcentral.